This 643-nucleotide long non-coding RNA is filed under the name Pongo abelii (Sumatran orangutan). RNAcentral describes it as "lincRNA". Lineage: Eukaryota; Metazoa; Chordata; Mammalia; Primates; Hominidae. The record is from RNAcentral.
GGGGAUUGGGCAGUGCUCCAGAAGCAUCUACCACAUUCCCGAGGUUUACUUCAAGAUGCAAUUGGGCCUGCUUGUCAAGCCUUUGCAAUAAACAUUCCAUGUAUCUCUAAUGAGUGACACAAACACAGCUUGGUCAUAUCCAAGAUGGGUGUUCCUGAUCUGCCUGUAGCUCUCCUCCAACCCAGACUCCUUUCAAACUGUGGCUCCACCAUCUUCAAUAUGGAGCUUCCAAGAUUGCCCCACUGCCCUGCACCAAGCCUGCAAAAGAGGAUAGGGGUCAGGCCACUCAUAUUUCACUGGACCAAAUUCAGUCACAUGGCCACACUCACUGCAAGGGAAGCUGGGAAAUGGAAUCUAGCUCUGUGCCCAAGAAGCAGAGAAAAACAGAUUUGAUGAAGACUUAGUCAAUCUCUGCAACAAUGAAACAGAGAAGAAGGCAAAAGAAAAAGAAUUUUACAACGCGAGGAGGGAGAGAAAAUUCAGUUAACAAAAAGAUAGACUACACCCCAAGGUAGUCUGCAGAAUUCUACCUACCCAAAUCAUGUGUUAAAUUGUGAAAGAAGUUAUGAUAAAAAUAGGGUAAGGGUGAAAUUUGAUAAAUGCUCUGGGGACACGUAGCACACUCCUUCCCUGGUGACGCAGU